Molecule: long non-coding RNA, 470 nt
Organism: Pseudophryne corroboree (corroboree frog)
Lineage: Eukaryota; Metazoa; Chordata; Amphibia; Anura; Myobatrachidae
Exons: 4
Source: RefSeq, a predicted model, not a curated record
GCAUGUGAGAGGAGGGAGGAGAGAAGGCAGUAGGAGCAGCUACAGACAUGUGCCCACGGCCCACCCAGUCAGUGUGUGAUAGUGAGUAGAUCUAUCUAUCUAUCGCAUUGGGCAUGGAAUCCUGAUGGUCAGAAUCGAGACAGUCAGAAUGCUGGCAGCAGGAUCCUGACGGUGAAAAUGCAGGCAGUCUUUGCGUGAGCAUGAAUCCCCUGGAAACGAGCAUGAAACCCCUAGCAACAAGCAUAAUUUCUUUAUGAUACCACACUCCCAGAAGUUGUGAAAGAAUGUAGCUGAAGAGUGAGAACACUUCAGGCAUCUUCCAGUUUCUUCUGGAACAAAAUGUUUUCUUUGGGCUUGUGAGAUGUAGGCUCUGUAAAUUGUCUUAAUGUGUACUUCUUGUAAGGAGGAAGCUUGUAAUAAUCGUAGUGUCUUGUCAAACUGAUUAAAUAUACCUGUUGAAACACCUAUAG